UACGAAGGGGGCAAGCGUUGUUCGGAAUUACUGGGCGUAAAGGGCGCGUAGGCGGCCGAUCAAGUCAGGCGUGAAAUUCCCGGGCUCAACCUGGGGGCUGCGCUUGAUACUGAUUGGCUUGAAUGCGGGAGAGGAUAGUGGAAUUCCCAGUGUAGAGGUGAAAUUCGUAGAUAUUGGGAAGAACACCGGUGGCGAAGGCGGAUCUCUGGGCCGAUACUGACGCUGAGGCACGAAAGCGUGGGGAGCGAACAGG
This 253-nucleotide ribosomal RNA is filed under the name uncultured bacterium. Its description in RNAcentral is "partial 16S ribosomal RNA". It matches the Rfam family "Bacterial small subunit ribosomal RNA", at positions 524 to 776 of the family's 1533-position model. The record is from RNAcentral.